Molecule: ribosomal RNA, 213 nt
Filed under: uncultured bacterium
Lineage: Bacteria
Description: partial 16S ribosomal RNA
Rfam family: Bacterial small subunit ribosomal RNA
Source: RNAcentral
UCAGUCCGGAUUGCAGGCUGCAACUCGCCUGUAUGAAGUCGGAAUUGCUAGUAAUCGCGGAUCAGCAUGCCGCGGUGAAUACGUUCCCGGGCCUUGUACACACCGCCCGUCACACCAUGAGAGCCGGGAACACCCGAAGUCCGUAGUCUAACCGUAAGGAGGACGCGGCCGAAGGUGGGUUUGGUAAUGGGGGUGAAGUCGUAACAAGGUAGC